AACCUGGUUGAUCCUGCCAGUAGUCAUAUGCUUGUCUCAAAGACUAAGCCAUGCAUGUCUAAGUAUAAAUGCUAUACAAUGAAACUGCGAAUGGCUCAUUAAAACAGUUAUAGUUUAUUUGGUAAUCGAAUUUACAUGGAUAACCGUGGUAAUUCUAGAGCUAAUACAUGCUGUAAAGCCCGACUUUUGGAAGGGCCGUAUUUAUUAGAUAACAGACCAAUAUUCCUCGUGUCUAUUGUGGUGAAUCAUAGUAACUAAUCGGAUCGUAUGGGCUUCGCCCUCGACAAACCAUUCAAGUUUCUGCCCCAUCAGCUUUCGAUGGUAGUGUAUUGGACUACCAUGGCUUUCACGGGUAACGGAGGAUUAGGGUUCGAUUCCGGAGAGGGAGCCUGAGAAACGGCUACCACAUCUAAGGAAGGCAGCAGGCGCGUAAAUUACCCAAUUCUGAUUCAGAGAGGUAGUGACAAGAAAUAACGGGUCGGGACUUUGUCCCGGGACUGCAAUGAACCGAAUCUACACACCUUAGCCAGCAACAAUUGGAGGGCAAGUCUGGUGCCAGCAGCCGCGGUAAUUCCAGCUCCAAUAGC
RNAcentral lists this ribosomal RNA (587 nucleotides) under uncultured marine eukaryote. RNAcentral describes it as "SSU rRNA". It matches the Rfam family "Eukaryotic small subunit ribosomal RNA", at positions 1 to 598 of the family's 1831-position model. The record is from RNAcentral.